Molecule: ribosomal RNA, 128 nt
Filed under: uncultured bacterium
Lineage: Bacteria
Description: partial 16S ribosomal RNA
Rfam family: Bacterial small subunit ribosomal RNA
Source: RNAcentral
CGCAGCUGAUGCAGCGACGCCGCGUGAGUGAUGAGGUCUUCGGGUUGUAAGCUCUGUCGUCAGGGACGAUGAUGACAGUACCCGUAGAGGAAGCAUCGGCUAACUCCGUGACAGCAGCCGCGGUAAUA